Molecule: transfer RNA, 76 nt
Filed under: Thalassotalea sp.
Lineage: Bacteria; Pseudomonadati; Pseudomonadota; Gammaproteobacteria; Alteromonadales; Colwelliaceae
Also listed under: 2 other names
Description: tRNA-Lys
Rfam family: tRNA
About the family: Transfer RNA (tRNA) molecules are approximately 80 nucleotides in length.
Source: RNAcentral
GGGCCGGUAGCUCAGUUGGUAGAGCAACUGACUUUUAAUCAGUAGGUCUCGGGUUCGAACCCCGACCGGCUCACCA